AACGAACGCUGGCGGCAGGCCUAACACAUGCAAGUCGAGCGCCCCGCAAGGGGAGCGGCGGUCGGGUGAGUAACGCGUGGGAAUAUGCCCUUUGCUACGGAAUAGUCUCGGGAAACUGGGGGUAAUACCGUAUACGCCCUUUGGGGGAAAGAUUUAUCGGCGAAGGAUUAGCCCGCGUUGGAUUAGGUAGUUGGUGGGGUAAUGGCCUACCAAGCCGACGAUCCAUAGCUGGUUUGAGAGGAUGAUCAGCCACACUGGGACUGAGACAGGGCCCAGACUCCUACGGGAGGCAGCAGUGGGGAAUCUUAGACAAUGGGGGCGACCCUGAGCUAGCCAUGCCGCGUGAGUGAUGAAGGCCUUAGGGUUGUAAAGCGCUUUCAGCUGGGAAGAUAAUGACGGUACCAGCAGAAGAAGCCCCGGCUAACUCCGUG
This 431-nucleotide ribosomal RNA is filed under the name uncultured bacterium. RNAcentral describes it as "partial 16S ribosomal RNA". It matches the Rfam family "Bacterial small subunit ribosomal RNA", at positions 29 to 507 of the family's 1533-position model. The record is from RNAcentral.